This is a long non-coding RNA of Haliotis rubra (blacklip abalone), 196 nucleotides long. RefSeq lists it as uncharacterized. The record is from RefSeq and is a predicted model, not a curated record. The transcript is spliced from 3 exons. NCBI's taxonomy places the organism in Eukaryota, Metazoa, Mollusca, Gastropoda, Lepetellida, Haliotidae.
CUGGGACGGGUCCACAUUUUCUACCCGGGUACCCCACCCCUUAGUACCCUACCCUACCUGGAUACCCGUUAGGUUAAUUCCUGACAUCAAAUUUGUAAGAAAUGGCAAUACAUUCUUCAGCUCGGAGGCUAAAAUUUCGAGUUUUUCAAUAUCUUAACCAUGUAUUGUAUUCAAAAGAAGAGAGUGUAAAUUACGU